This 305-nucleotide ribosomal RNA is filed under the name uncultured bacterium. RNAcentral describes it as "bacterial SSU rRNA". It matches the Rfam family "Bacterial small subunit ribosomal RNA", at positions 336 to 638 of the family's 1533-position model. The record is from RNAcentral.
UUCCUACGGGAGGCAGCAGUGAGGAACAUUGGUCAAUGGGCGGGAGCCUGAACCAGCCAAGUCGCGUGAGGGAAGACGGUCCUAUGGAUUGUAAACCUCUUUAGGCGGGGAGCAAUGCCGGGCACGCGUGCCCGGAGGGAGAGUACCCGCAGAAUAAGCAUCGGCUAACUCCGUGCCAGCAGCCGCGGUAAUACGGAGGAUGCGAGCGUUAUCCGGAUUUAUUGGGUUUAAAGGGUGCGCAGGCGGCACGGCAAGCCGGCGGUCAAAUCGCGGGGCCCAACCCCGCCCAGCCGUCGGAACUGCCG